AGGAGGGUUUGAUCAUGGCUCAGGACGAACGUUGGCGGCGUGGAUUAGGCAUGCAAGUCGAACGAGAAAGGUUUCUUCGGAAACCAAGUACAGUGGCGAACGGGUGAGUAAUGCAUGGAUAACCUACCCUUGAGAUGGGGACAACUUCUCGAAAGGGGAGCUAAUACCCAAUAACGUCCAGUGCCUCAGGGUGCUGGACCAAAGAUGGCCUCUGAUUCAAGCUUUCGCUCAGGGAGGGGUUCAUGUCCCUAUUAGCUUGUUGGUGAGGUAACGGCUCACCAAGGCUCUGAUGGGUAGCCGGCCUGAGAGGGUGUCCGGCCACACUGGGACUGAGACACUGCCCGGACUCCUACGGGAGGCUGCAGUCGAGAAUCUUCCGCAAUGCGCGCAAGCGUGACGGAACC
Molecule: ribosomal RNA, 404 nt
Filed under: uncultured Planctomycetota bacterium
Lineage: Bacteria; Pseudomonadati; Planctomycetota
Description: bacterial SSU rRNA
Rfam family: Bacterial small subunit ribosomal RNA
Source: RNAcentral